CAUCUAGGAAGAAACAGAACUAAAAAUCGAUGUGGCCGUGAGUUAAGAUGAUGAAUCAGAGAGAGUACCUGACUUGACCAAGAUCACCAGCUAGAAGACGGCGUUCGGCUACUCCUGUCCAGGGCUUUUGACUUAAGCAAGACAAAUGUAUCAGCUAUUUGCAAAAGCAACCCCAGAAAACAACUGACAAACGGGACAGACCCAGAGGCUCAGCAUACACAUUCUUUUCUUCUAGAACCUCCAAAGUGCUAAUACACUGUUUACAUCUAAAUGUGGCAACAUUCAAACAAAGAAAGCCCAUGUAAAUGGGUUGCAUUGGACACCUCCUCUUCUACAAUGC
RNAcentral lists this long non-coding RNA (340 nucleotides) under Felis catus (domestic cat). RNAcentral's name for it is "lncRNA (ENSFCAG00000049725.1)". Lineage: Eukaryota; Metazoa; Chordata; Mammalia; Carnivora; Felidae. The record is from RNAcentral.